CUAGGAAAGAAGACAGCAAAGGAGCUAAGCUAUGGAAUUAUGGAAUCUCCCUUUCGAAUCUUGGGGAUGCGUCUUCAUCUCAAUUCAUUCUCCGUUGAUCAUUCCUAUUUUUCAUUUUAAGCCUCCAUUUUCCUUUCCUUUUCCUUACACUUUUCCUCUUUGGUUUUUCAAGUCAUUAGUCAUCCAUCUAAACAUCAACAUGAUCACAUGAAAUCAAAAACCCCUUUACCCUUUUCUCUUCCUACCUCUCAUGUCCCAAUCAUUUUCUCAAUCACCCAAGAAUCGAAUAUUGUGAGUUUUCUUCCUGGGUUUUGAUGUUUCUUUCUUUCUUUGUCAUCUUUCUAAAUUAUCUCCAUGCUUAUCAGCAUCAAAAUGACAACUUUGGAUUUGAUGUUAACAUCCCAUUUCCUUUUCGCUUUUUGUUUAGCAGCUUUAGCUUCAUAUAAGAAAUAUUGGCAUUUUUUUAAAAGAAAAUAAAAAUCUGUGACGCCAGGACCUUGAUUGAGGCUUAGCAUGGGAUUUGGGAAAAGCCUUCAACGGUGGGAGUUACUGCAUAGAUGAUGGUGUUUCUGGGUCUUGUGUGGAUAGCUUUUCUUGUUGGGUUAGUCAUCGGCUGGGCAUGGAAGCCCAAGUGGGUAACCAUUAGAGGAGACAAAUUAACUUUUCAUGUAUCAAAAUUCUUGGAUUUGUCGUUGCCUUCAUCUCCACUAAAGGGUUUUGCUUCGGCUUCAUGUUCUAACUCAUUCAUGAUCAGUUCAAAAAAGGAUGAACCAUGUCAUGUUGAUAAUCCUGCAGACAAAAAAUCAACCUCACUAUCCAUUUCAGAAUAUGAAAAUUGCAGCCCAUCACAGCAGAAUGAAGAACAAUCUAAUGUUGUCAAUCUUGUGACGGAGAAGGAUUUAGAACAUUUAUGCCAGCUUAUUGAGAUGAAAGAUGGAGGUCCUACAUGGAUACAAAUGAUGGAUUGCUCCACCCCUGGUAUGAGGUGUCAAGCAUGGAGGAGAGAACCCAAGGUAAAGUUUUUUUUCCCCCCUUUUGUUUAAAAGGUAGCUGAAUGAUGAAUCUAAAUUAAGUGGAAUUAUUCAUCUUCAGAUUGUGUUUGAGUGGAAUUCUGGAUAUAACAAUCAUUCAUAGAACUGGAUGCUAGUUUUGAGUUUUGAUAUAUGCCAUUUUGUGAAGUAUAUAUUUUUUUCCUACUGAUUAUUAGACUGGUCCCCCUCAAUAUCAAACUAGAACCGUGUUUGAGAAUGCAACACCAGAGAUGGUGCGAGACUUCUUCUGGGAUGAUGAAUUUCGGGCAACUUGGGAUGACAUGCUUGCAUAUUCUGCUAUGAUAGAUGAGUGUCUCACUACUGGGACUAUGAUUGUGCAAUGGAUUAGAAAAGUAGGGAUUUCCAUUCCAUCUUCUCUAAUUAAUUAAUAGCUUGUCUUUAGUUUGUGUUCUCACCUGCUUCCAAUACUUUGCCGCAGUUUCCAUUAUUCUGCAGUGACAGAGAAUACAUAAUAGGCCGACGAAUAUGGGAAUCGGGUGGAUCUUAUUACUGUGUGACAAAGGGAGUACCCUGUUCAUCCGUACCAAGGCGAGCUAAACCCAGACGUGUCGAUCUCUACUACUCAAGUUGGUGUAUUCGAGCAGUGGAAUCAAGAAUGGGGGAUGGCCGUUUGAUUGCCUGUGAGGUAUUACUUUUACAUCACGAAGAAAUGGGUAUACCAUGGGAAAUUGCAAAGCUUGGAGUAAAGCAUGGGAUGUGGGGAACUGUCAAAAAGUUUGAGCCUGGCUUAAGGGCGUACCAGAAAGCAAGAGCAUCUGGUGUUCCACUUUCUCGGCCUGCAUUCAUGGCUCAAAUCACUACCAAAAUAAAUUCAGGGCUCCCAAGAUCCCUGGCAGUCAAUGAGAAUUCAUCAGAGACAGAGGUAGCAGCAGCAGCAACUUCAUCCAACAGAUCUUUGGGCAGGAAGAUACCAAAGUGGUUAAUUUUUGGUGGGGUCUUUGUCCUUGCUUGCAGCAUUGAUAGGGGACUCUUAACCAAGGCAUUUAUAUUUGGCGUAGCUAGAAAGUUUGCAAAUAUAGGGAAAAGAUUGUAAAUUAAGUGUUGAAGACUACGGUUUUUUUCAUCUUUUCAAACACUUAAGGGAUGCUCUUUUUUUUCUUCAGGUGAUGUCUCUGUCAGAUGAGAAUACAUUGAACCAAUUCUUGUUAGAUUCUAUAACAAAAGAGUACGGCCUGCCAUGGUCUGGUUCUGGGUUAGAAUCAGAACCAGACUGGUGAUUCGGCUUCUGGGGCCAAGGGACCAGGUUGGCCCUUGCAAUUAUAGACUUGUAGUCAUGGUGUAUCCUCCAUUGAU
Molecule: unclassified non-coding RNA, 2345 nt
Filed under: Hevea brasiliensis (rubber tree)
Lineage: Eukaryota; Viridiplantae; Streptophyta; Magnoliopsida; Malpighiales; Euphorbiaceae
Source: RNAcentral